UAAGGAAUAUUGGUCAAUGGACGCAAGUCUGAACCAGCCAUGCCGCGUGAAGGAUGCAGGUCCUCUGGAUUGUAAACUUCUUUUAUCUGGGACGAAAACGGGAUUUUUAUCUCAAUUGACGGUACCAGAGGAAUAAGCACCGGCUAACUCCGUGCCAGCAGCCGCGGUAAUACGGAGGGUGCGAGCGUUAUCCGGAUUUACUGGGUUUAAAGGGUGCGUAGGUGGGCUUAUAAGUCAGUGGUGAAAUCUCCGAGCUUAACUUGGAAACUGCCGUUGAUACUAUAGGUCUUGAAUUAUCUGGAGGUAAGCGGAAUAUGUCAUGUAGCGGUGAAAUGCUUAGAUAUGACAUAGAACACCUAUUUCGAAGGCAGCUUACUACAUAUAAAUUGACGCUGAGGCACGAAAGCGUGGGGAUCAAACA
RNAcentral lists this ribosomal RNA (421 nucleotides) under uncultured bacterium. RNAcentral's name for it is "bacterial SSU rRNA". It matches the Rfam family "Bacterial small subunit ribosomal RNA", at positions 355 to 774 of the family's 1533-position model. The record is from RNAcentral.